GACGAACGCUGGCGGCGUGCCUAAUACAUGCAAGUAGAACGCUGAAGAGAGGAGCUUGCUCUUCUUGAAUGAGUUGCGAACGGGUGAGUAACGCGUAGGUAACCUGCCUUGUAGCGGGGGAUAACUAUUGGAAACGAUAGCUAAUACCGCAUAACAAUGGGUGACACAUGUCAUUUAUUUGAAAGGGGCAAUUGCUCCACUACAAGAUGGACCUGCGUUGUAUUAGCUAGUAGGUGAGGUAACGGCUCACCUAGGCGACGAUACAUAGCCGACCUGAGAGGGUGAUCGGCCACACUGGGACUGAGACACGGCCCAGACUCCUACGGGAGGCAGCAGUAGGGAAUCUUCGGCAAUGGGGGCAACCCUGACCGAGCAACGCCGCGUGAGUGAAGAAGGUUUUCGGAUCGUAAAGCUCUGUUGUAAGUCAAGAAUGAGUGUGAGAGUGGAAAGUUCACACUGUGACG
Molecule: ribosomal RNA, 464 nt
Filed under: Streptococcus vestibularis
Lineage: Bacteria; Bacillati; Bacillota; Bacilli; Lactobacillales; Streptococcaceae
Description: bacterial SSU rRNA
Rfam family: Bacterial small subunit ribosomal RNA
Source: RNAcentral